Molecule: ribosomal RNA, 253 nt
Filed under: uncultured bacterium
Lineage: Bacteria
Description: partial 16S ribosomal RNA
Rfam family: Bacterial small subunit ribosomal RNA
Source: RNAcentral
UACGGAGGAUGCGAGCGUUAUCCGGAAUCAUUGGGUUUAAAGGGUCUGUAGGCGGGCUGGUAAGUCAGAGGUGAAAGCGCUUAGCUCAACUAAGCAACUGCCUUUGAAACUGUUGGUCUUGAAUGGUUGUGAAGUAGUUGGAAUGUGUAGUGUAGCGGUGAAAUGCUUAGAUAUUACACAGAACACCGAUAGCGAAGGCAUAUUACUAACAAUUUAUUGACGCUGAUGGACGAAAGCGUGGGGAGCGAACAGG